AUUUUGACUCUCAACUAAGCGAUCUUGACACAAAUGGAUGCGAUAUGUCCGCACACAAAGGGGUGUGGUGAAGCAAUGUUAAUAUGUAAUAA
Long non-coding RNA from Haliotis rubra (blacklip abalone), 92 nucleotides. RefSeq lists it as uncharacterized. The record is from RefSeq and is a predicted model, not a curated record. NCBI's taxonomy places the organism in Eukaryota, Metazoa, Mollusca, Gastropoda, Lepetellida, Haliotidae. The transcript is spliced from 3 exons.